GGGUCCAAUUGGAGCUAUAGCCUCCAGCCUACGCCAGAGCCACAGCAACACGGAAUCCAAGCCACGUCUGUGACCUACACCACAGCUCAGGGCAACACCAGAUCCUUAACCCACUGAGCAAGGCCAAGGAUCGAACCUGCAACCUCAUAGUUCCUAGUCAGAUUCGUUAACCAUUGAGCCACGACGGGAACUCCGGAGAAUGGUUUUUAAUUUUCUAACAAAUUAAAAUAUCUGCAGAGUUUCAGUGGGUCUUGGAUCGAAUUUAAAAAUCUGUAACAUUUGAUUUCUAGAAAAAGCUACUAAUUUAUGUAAGGAAGGCUGUUUGUUUACUAAUCUAAUUAAGGUACUAAAGGAAGAACAUCAUAUGAUUAUAUUGCUAGAUGUAUAAAUAGUAUUUGAUAAAGUUUAGUACUCAUUAGUGGAAAAAACUCAAUCAACUAGGAAUAUAAAAUAAUUUCCUUAAUCUGAUAGACGAUAUCUACAAAAAAUACUUGGCAGACAUUAUACUUAAUAAUUUGAAAUAGUGAAAAUUUUCUACUUGAGAUUAGGAAUAAGAAUUUCAGGUUGUGACAUUUAUAUUUAACACUGUAUCAAAGAUCUUAACAAGUGCUGUAAGUCAUGAAAAAGAAAAUACAGAAGAAUUAGAUCUGACAUUAUUUAAUAGAUGACAAGACUGGUUAGAGUAAAUGCAAAAGAAUGAACAAAUGAACUAUUAGAUUUAAUAAGUGAAUUGAGCAUGGUCAAUAAGAUAUAAGAUCAGUAUUUAAUACCAAUUGCAUGUCUAUAUUUCAGUGACAAACAACUAGAAAUGACAUUUUUGAAAGUUAUCAACUAAAUAGGGAAAAUGUUAACAUCUUAUAAUAAAUAAAACCCAGCAAGCUUCCAAGAAUAAAUCUAAUAAAAUGUAUGCAGUAUCUCUACAUCAUAAUUUUUCAACAGUAGCACUAUGAAAUUGCCCUGAGUGAAAACCACUACUUUCUACAAAAAAAAAGCAGCAUAGCAUGAACAAGACAAAUUAAAUAGGCCUAAAUAUAGGAAUUUAUGCUGUUAUAGAUUGAAAGAUUCAGUACUAUAAAAAUGUCAGUCCUACAUAAAUUGAUAUAUAGCUUUAAUGUCAUCCCAAUAAAAUGUCUACCUAUUUUGAUCUUUUAGAAAUUAACAAGUUGGUUUUAAAAUUUAUAUGAAAUGCAAAGGAGAAUCAUUUUAGUAACAGAAGAUAAAUUUGAUCUGAGCUGUUAUUCUCACUAGAAAACACUCAGUACAAAGUGCUUUUCCUCCUCUGACAAAAUGAGGGAAAAUCCAAUUUCCUUUGACACCACAGUUUAUCAAAUACUUUUACCUCCCCUUCUCUGUUGACAGUCCCUGCAGUUAGCUUCCUUACUAUAAAGCUCAGAAGCCUUUUUGCAUAGGGACCUUUAGUUGUUUUCACCAUUUAGUCUAGGACCAUAAGUAGCUGAAUUUAAACGUGCUUAAAGUUUUCCCGUAUCAUUAAAGCUCGCACAAAUUAAAGACCACUUGAUCCAACAGACAGAAGAACUGACUUACAACUGUAACUUUAAGAAAGUCAUUCAUCUUUAAUAAAACUAAUAUAGCUCAGUAAGACCAAGAAAUUGAUAAUCUCUGCUUCCAAGAAUUCAAAUGACAAUAAACAAAAUUCACAAAAAGCCUGGCUUUUGAUCUUAUAUUCAUAUCCAGAUGACUCUGUCUUACUCUCAGGAGUUCCUUUCUAAAUAAUUUUUUAUCUCAUCAAACUCCUAAUUUCAAAAUAAAUUUCUGGGUCACUUUCUCAGCCUUCUCAUUCUGAGUUCUCCUCUGUGUAAUCUUGUAAUCCUGCUUAUCUAUCUCUCCUGGAAUAUUGUAGUGUAAGCAGUGGAUUAGGGGAAUUUUAAACUCAAUACAUCUGUAUUCAGUUGGGCUAAGCUGCAGAAGAAACAGAUCCCACUGUCUCAAAACCAAUACAGUGUCUCAAAACCAAUAGAGGUUUAUUGAUUACUCAAGUAACAGUCCAAGGGAAGUAUGUCUAGUUCUCAUAUAUCUCAUCCAUGAACUGAGGCAUCAUCUACUUUUUCUAAGACAGCAUAGUCACUCGCAUUCAAUGGCAGAAGGAGGAAAAAUAUAGGAAAUGUACAGACCUGGAAGUAGUACACAUCACUCUGGUUAUAUUCCCUUGCAUAGAGCUCAGCUGUGUGGUUCACUUAAUGACAGGAGACUCUGGGAAAAUGUAGACCAAGAUAUGUGUCUAGUUGGGUAUCCCAUAUUAAAAGCCUCUAACGUAAGGUUCAAACCAAAUGCAUUCUGUUUCCUGACACCUAUUCCCUUUACUGCAGUCCCUAAUGUAUUUGAUUAUAUCUCCCUCCAUUCAUUCUCUAAAUCCAUAAAAUGUAGAAUCUUCAUUUUACUUCAUUUGAUUAUGGAAUCAAAGGAGGACCAUUCACUGUUCAGCUCUUUGACAGUUAUAGCUCAGCAAUAUGCACAUAGAUCUCUCUCCACUAAAUCACAUUUUUUAAACCAUUUCCCUAGACUAGAUAACAAUAUCUUUUCCAUAAUCUAUCUGGAAAGUCAAACUUGUCUUACCACCAUGUAUGCUCCUUUAUUAAAUAAACUUUCCAGAAUGUAAGCAAUGAGUUUUCAAAAUUUAUAAGUCUGCUAUUGAUGUUCUCUUAAUUGAGUCACAUAAGUUCAGUUUUUAAGGGUUCCCAUUUCCUAUGGAAUGAAAUUCAAUCUCAGUUUGGUGUUGAGUGCCUUUCAUCAUUAGAAUCUCCUUUAUCCAAGAGUGUUCCCUCUUCUCCUUACCCUUCUACACUCCAGAAACAGGAUACUAUCCCUUCCCUCAAAUUAAACAUGCCAUUUUAGGUCUCUUAUUCUUUCCUUCCUCUGCCCCAAAUAGCCUUUUUCUUUGCCCCUUUUCUCAUUUUCCUUCUCUGCCUUCUUGAUAUAGUUGUCCUUAGAUGUAGAACUCAAAUGUUUUAUGUUUUGCAGGGCUUCUCUUUCUGAAUAUCCAUAAUCUCAGUCAAUCAUGCUUUCCUUUUUGCUCCCAAAGGAAAUGUUUAUGGUUGUUUUAUAUCAUUUAUCACUGUGGACUUGCAUUCUAGUUAUAUGUGAAUGUGUCUCUUCCCCUUCACAUAGGAUAGACUGAGACUCCUCAUAGUAGCUUUAGCGCUUCAACUACCUCUGUGUCUCCAGUGUGUGUAUACCAGUUAAAAUACAUGUGGGACUGAAA
This 3220-nucleotide long non-coding RNA is filed under the name Sus scrofa (pig). RNAcentral's name for it is "lncRNA (ENSSSCG00035065822.1)". The record is from RNAcentral. Lineage: Eukaryota; Metazoa; Chordata; Mammalia; Artiodactyla; Suidae.